Molecule: ribosomal RNA, 403 nt
Filed under: uncultured bacterium
Lineage: Bacteria
Description: bacterial SSU rRNA
Rfam family: Bacterial small subunit ribosomal RNA
Source: RNAcentral
UAUUGCGCAAUGGGCGAAAGCCUGACGCAGCGACGCCGCGUGGGGGAUGACGGCCUUCGGGUUGUAAACCUCUUUCGACCGGGACGAAGCGUGAGUGACGGUACCGGUAGAAGAAGCACCGGCCAACUACGUGCCAGCAGCCGCGGUAAUACGUAGGGUGCGAGCGUUGUCCGGAAUUAUUGGGCGUAAAGAGCUCGUAGGCGGUGUGUCGCGUCGGUCGUGAAAACUUGGGGCUUAACCCUGAGCGUGCGGUCGAUACGGGCAUCACUUGAGUUCGGCAGGGGAGACUGGAAUUCCUGGUGUAGCGGUGAAAUGCGCAGAUAUCAGGAGGAACACCGGUGGCGAAGGCGGGUCUCUGGGCCGAUACUGACGCUGAGGAGCGAAAGCGUGGGGAGCGAACAGG